GAGCUCCUUGAAGUCCAAUUG
Molecule: microRNA, 21 nt
Filed under: Glycine max (soybean)
Lineage: Eukaryota; Viridiplantae; Streptophyta; Magnoliopsida; Fabales; Fabaceae
Description: gma-miR159a-5p
Gene: gma-miR159a-5p
Source: miRBase by way of RNAcentral